GCGGGCGUAGCUCAAGGGAGAGCGGCAGCAGGCGGGCGGCACAAUGAUUUAUGAGAGCGCGCCGCCGUCCCGUCGAGACAGCAGAUCGUGGUGCAAAUCCACGCGCCCGCGCCA
This 114-nucleotide transfer RNA is filed under the name Clostridia bacterium. RNAcentral describes it as "tRNA-OTHER". The record is from RNAcentral. Lineage: Bacteria; Bacillati; Bacillota; Clostridia.